Molecule: long non-coding RNA, 6957 nt
Organism: Lepidothrix coronata (blue-crowned manakin)
Lineage: Eukaryota; Metazoa; Chordata; Aves; Passeriformes; Pipridae
Exons: 3
Source: RefSeq, a predicted model, not a curated record
CGGUUGGCGGUCCUGGAAGAUGCGGGUUAAUUUCGGGGUGUUGGCGAGGGGCGCGCUGGGAGCGCCCGCCGGUUGUGCGAGCGGAGCGCUGAGCCUGCUCUCGCAGAGAAGGCGAAAGGGCAGCUCUCUGCGUUAAAAACACUUCUGCGGCUGUUCAGGGGGAGAGAUACCUUCACUGUUCUUUAUUUGCACCCAGUGCCUUCCCAUAGGCUCGGUGACGUUGCCCCUCAAUUCAGGGAGGGCACUGAGUUGCUGGAACGAGUCCAGAGAAGGGCAAUGGAGCUGGUGAAGAGUCUGGAACGCCGGUCUUAUGAGGAGUAGCUAAGGGAGCUGGGGAUGUUCAGCCUGGAGAAGAGAAGGCUCAGGGGUGACCUUAUCAGUCUCUACAACACCCUGAAAGGAGGUUGUAGCCAGGUGGAGGUCGGUCUCUUCUCCCAGGCAACUAGUGACAGGACAAGAGGACAGUCUUAAGCUGCAGCAGGGGAGGUUCAGGUUGGACAACAGGAGGAACUUCUUCACAUAAAGGGUGAUUAGACAUUGGAAUGGACUACCCAGGGAGGUGGUGAAGUCACCGUCCCUGGUGGAAAGGCUGAACGUGGCAUGGUCUAGUUGCCAGGGUGGUGUUAGGUCAUAGGUUGGACUCAAGGACCUCAGAGGUCUUUUCCAACCUAAUUGCUUCUGUGAAUUUCAUACUUUGAAGGCACACGACUUGCCUCUUGGUGUCCCAGGGUUGCCUGAGGUUGCCUCAGGGUUUGAUCCUGAAGGACUGCCACAGGUGGGAAAUCCCAAAGUGGUUUAAAGGUGCAUGUUUGGGCCAUGAAGCAGACUAACAGUAGCUUUGUCCACCUGGCUGAUUUUCCUCUUCCAUUUCUGAUUCUAGUUAUGGCAGGUCCUGUUCUGUGGGUCUCAGGGAAGGCUUUUAGAUACUAAAACCUGAUAGAUGCUACUCAUCACAAAUGUUCUGUUUUCUAUUGUCUUCCCAGCACAGCAAUCACAGAUGGAGCUGAAAUGGUGCUAGGUUACAACAGAAGAAGAAGCAGCCAAGAUCAAAAUGCUCUGGUUUGUCUUGGCAGAAAAUGUAAAUUGUGCUGCGCUUCAAUAUGCUGUAGACCUGUCUGGAGCUCAUCUGGUAGCCUAAUAAUGGCUGAAAAGUGGGAUUAAACUUGAGUUGUUUGACCUGAGGCAUGUAAUCAUCCUGCCUGCAGUCUAACACCCAGUACCCUGAUGGUUGCACAGUUCUUUCCUUAUCAUGUGACCCAAACUGAUCCAUCACGUGACCAAAAUGCAGGCAUCUUCCUUUACACAAAGGUAUGUCACUCCUGAUGGGAAGACCCAUAAACAUCAGGUAAGAGACUGCAAGAUUUUCUCAGUUCUCUGCAGAUGGAUGUGUGCCGUGACCAUAGAUUUUUUUUUGGCCUAUAUAACUACAUGCAUUUUGGUUGUCUUAAGAUGUGUGUUCAGCUCUGUGGCUGCAGAAGCGCAUAUGGUAUGGUGACAUGCGGAAGUGAUUCCCUAAAAGCAAUUCUGUGAUGUGGUAAGCUGAAUACACAGGAGGUCACUGAGCUGAACAUUGUUGGUGCCAGAGAAGAUUUAUGAUGAGGAAAUUGGGACAGGAAGCCAGGAGCAAAAAGGCUUCUGACAUCUAGAGGACUGAAGAUCUCAACAGCUUCCCAAACAGGAAAGUGGGAGCACACAGCCUAUGUUGUUUCAUGAUGAAGCUUCAUAAAUUCAGAGUCCUGGUUGGUAUGAGAAGCCAGGUUUGACCCAGGACUUGACAAUUAAAGCUGGAGGAGGGAGGGAGGUGGUACCCCCAAAGAAGGAUGAAAAGCCCUUACUGUUAGAUGUGAAGAAGCUGUCAUUGAAACCAUGUUUCUUUGCUGUGGCAGGAUAUGGCAACAGAGGUAGGGGAAAGCAGGGGAAGGUUCAUCAUGUAGGUGGCUCCUGUGAGGUGUAAGCAAAACAAGGACUGUUAAUCAAGUGGCAAGUCAGCUGCUGCUCAGAAAAAGGGGUGCAACGCUGUAUGACAUCCUUAAAAAAUAAGAACCAAGAAGAAGUUGUGAUCUGCUGCAGAGAGCUGAGGGUGCGUGUUGGUCUUCAGAUUAAUUUAGGUUACAAGGAGGAGCAAGAGGAAUGAUCAAAGUUGUCAAACCUUUCCAUCUGAGGAGAUAGUAAAUGAAAAGUAAACAGACCAAGAUGUUUCUAUUUGGAGAAAGGGUAUGUGAGAGGAUACUAUGGAAGAAAUCUAUAAAAUGGUGAGUGGUGUUAGGGCAGAUAGGGAACAGUCACGUACAGCUUCUCACAAUAAGAGAACUGAAUGGAAGUCUGUAAAAUUUUUGUUUGGCAGAUUCAAAACACAAGGAAGUAAUUUUUCUCAUAAUGGAGAACUGAAUGUAGAAUACAUAUAGUGUUAUGGUAAUAAAAAUGGGAAUGGGUUAAAAAAGGAAUCAGAGUAAUUUUAGAGACAAGCCUAUUGAAGACUAUUAUGCAGUGGUCUAGAAAGAAAUCUCCAGCUUGGAAUUAUUGGGAGUUACAGGAUAUGACCUGGAAAGGAUCAAUCUGUAUGUCUAAUGAGCUUUUCAUAAGCACCUACAAUUGGCCACUGUGGGGAAAAGGGAACUGAGCUAUGAAGACCUUUGGUCUGGCCAAGUACAGACUUUUUAAAUUCUACUUUCCCAACAGAGUAAAUGACUUCAUUGAGGGUUCUAAUAUCAACCACAUAAUUUGAGGUUAGCACAGGUAAAGGAUAUUUUAGAUGUUACAUCUAACUCGAUAUUGUUUUGAUUAACAGCUAUGAAAUAUCCAAAGGGCAUUAUUUGGCAUCAUUCAGGUGGCAUUGGUCUUAUGCCAUGAAUGCAACAAGGUUAUGUAUGAGACCAGAGCUCUUUCUCCUGGUAAACACCAUGCCAUAUGUUUUUAUCAGGCACUAAUUUGGAGGAGAAUUAAUCUUAAGAAAGUUAUUACGUUAGAGUGUCCUAGUUAUGUCUAAGUAUAGAGCUGGGGGCUUCUUCAUUUAUACAAAUAUUGCUAAACAUUUAAUUUCAGAUUCUCAGUCUGGUGGAUAAUAAAAAAUGACUACCCACCAAACUUGUAGCAUUAAAUGGAGACUUUAUUUUUGGCAGCUCAUUGGAGAGGGAUUAAUAUUACUGGAAUGGCUUUGUUUCUCAGCAAUGCUUCCUUAAGAACAGCUUCCUCUGAACAUAUAUUUCUAUUUUAUUGAGAAAAGGAAAUAUGGUAUUAGAAAUCAAUGUUUUUAAAGGGUAAUUUAAAGAAAUCUAAUCUUGGCAGAUGCUGAAAUAUUUUCAAUUUAGAACAAAUAGUAUUUCUGUCAUCCAGUCAGCUUUUUAAAAUUAGACCAUUACUCCUUGAUAAGUUAAUUACAAAACAGAAAGAGACUCAACCAAUCUAAAAAAGUGUUAUUAAUGAAAGUAUAGAGCACAUGUCUAAAAGCUGCUUUUACUGAUUUAUGGGUGAAAUUUUACUUUUCAUAUGAAAAACCUUGUCUCGAAUGUCUUAAAUCAUAGGGAAAAAUGCUCAAUUUUUCACCCUAUCACAACUAAUUUUUUACACUGGUACACUGAUGGACUAUUGUUUUUCUGUGCUACCAUCCAUUAUAAAAACUGACAGCAUCAUAAUUGAAAUUAUUUAAAAUAUGGUGGAUUUAGAUAAUUCUUUACUUCGGUAUAGAUGUGACUACACAAGAAAUGCUGCUACUGGAAAUUGCUAGGAUGAGUUACCAAAAUGGAAUUAUUGCUCAGCAGGCCAUACUCCUCUGGGGGUAGGAAAUGAAAAAUACCAUUUUUCAUUUCAUUUCAUUUCAUUUCAUUUUCAAAUUCAUUUGAAAUGCGGAAAGAUAGGAGGAAUGGAAGGAACAUUUUUUGUUGUGUCUGAGGCCUGGUCAUCUUUAGUCAAAUCUCUGUGCUCCAGGGCAGAUGCCCAGUUUCACGCUGCACAGACACUUAGGCUCCAUGCAGACAUGAGAAGCAUGGAGUAGGUUGCAACUAUGAGUUGAAAUGUCUCCGGGUCCACCAGCUGAAUCCUGGUCUCACUAAAGUCCCUGGUAAGUCUUUCAGAUCAGUGGAGUCACAAUUUCACCCCAAGGAUUUUGGGUAAAAACAAGUAAAACUCACCAAAAAAAUUACUGUGGGUGAUUAGCUUCAUAAUAUCUGCCCAUGGAUGUCUCUGUGCUGCAUGGCUGCAUUUUGUGCUUCUUGCAGUAAGAACCUGCCAAGGUGCCCAGUGGAAAUCCUUCCUGGUUAGUGCUGGGGUCUGAGCCAAAGCCGUGUCAGGUACCAGUCAAACAAUUUAACAAUAUGACUAGUGGCAAGCUAAAACCCAAACUAAAUGCCCUGCCUCUGAGUAGUUUACCAGUAUAAAAACUGAGCCACAGAGGCAACUGGUUUGGCAAUCUCUUCGGGAAACUGUCACUUAGUGGUGUGUGAUGACUGGUAAACCCACUUCAGCUAAAAUCUUAUUUAGCCUCAAACAACAGGAAUAAAAUAUAAUGGAAGACGAAAAGGUUUUAAACCGUACUAAAAGUACCAACAUACAUCUCUCUUACAACAAAUGUUGCUGUCCUAAAGUGGACAGGCAGAUUUAGCCUUUCCAGAUACUGUACAAUUCCAUAGAAUUUCACAGAACUGGUCAACCGCAGAAAAAACCUGGCCAACUGCAGAAAAAUGGCAGAGAUAACAAAUCUGGGUUAUGGGAGAUGUUGUUUCUGUGAAACUGUAGAGCAUCUGAAAAGGCUAAAUCUACUUGUCCACUUCAGGACAGAAACAUUUUUGGGGUAAGAAAAUAUAUAUUACACUAUAAAUAUAUUGAACAGUACUGGCCCUAGAAUUGAAACUGGAGGAGCACUACUGGUGAUUGGUCGCCAGCCAGGUAUAGCCCCAUUAACUGCAACCCUUAAACUGUUGGACACCAGGUAAAAGAAAUUUAAAGGAAAAAUGUUUGCAGGAGAUUUCUAUACUUCAAAUACAGAAAAAAAAAGCAUGGGAUAGAGCAACCCCCUCCAGCUUUCAGUAUAUACUGUCCGGUGGUAAAUCUAAGAACCUAGAACUUUUGAAAAACAGGUAAUUUUUUAAUUACAUGUGAAUUCUCCUUUAUACAAGGCCAUAUUACUCUUCACAUCAAUACUAUCUCAGAGAUAACAACUGCCUAUAAACUGCAAUAUCGCUCACCUUCCUAAAUGUGGAGGAAAAUUUAGGCAGACACUAGGCUUUGGCUGUACGCCUCCACCCCCUCCUUUUCAUGAACAGCAAUACAGGUACCACUGAAAAGUUUGUAACUUUAUACUGUUACAUGAGAAUAACCCAGGGACACAAUUAUCUCCAUUAUCAGAAAGUAUACAAGCGCAGUGUCCAGCAGCAUCUCCAGAUGCUUAGCCACAUCUCAGGGGACACUGUAAUAGGAGAGCUAAGUUUGACCAGUCUGACCAUUUCUUUAAAAGUUGUAUAGCAGGUGAUAUCUUUUAGUAUGUAUAGCUGCAAUUAUGAAGGUAAUUAAGUGGCACAUUCCAGGGGAGCCCAAGGAGCACCUUAAAUUAAAUCCCUGAGCCUCACAAUGUUAUUGUAAUUAGCUGUCUGUCUUAGUAGGGUUUUUUUGUUUAUUGCAUCUACCCUGUGUGCUAGGGAUGAAAAAACAUAAUUUGACACAAAAUAUUUUAAAUGGUUUAUUACUGAGAUGAAGGCUUAUUUUCAUUUUUCCCAGACCACAUGUUCUUUCUUUCCUUUGCUUUUAAUUACAAAUAUUCACAGCAGUGAGAAUGUUUAAAACUUGAGAAGAUAUUUUAUUGUUUAUUGCUUGCAAAAUAAAGUAAUGAUGUUUGCCCCUUCUAUUUAGAGGGAAAACCUGUCUGGUGAUGUUUGUUUUAUCUUCACCUUACAAAGUAACAUAGUUCAAAUACUCUUAAGGACAGGCAUGUUAGCUCGGCAGUUUUGAUCUGGGAUGGUUCCAGGUUAGACCAUUUUCCAAACACCACUAAUUACCACUGUGGAACAGUUUAUAUUUUGAUAUAAAUGAACUCCCUUUCUUUAAGUGUGAACUUCUAAUUUCUACAGUGGAAAAAAGGAAGUCAGAAGUUCUAAAUGAAAAAUAAAUAUAAGCUGCAUUGAAAAUUUGACUAAUUAUUUAUUAGUUCACAUUAACAUGCAUUAGGGAAGUUACUGGGAGCAUUCUGAGCCCAGGUUCCAGUUCUGUCCCUUGCCUUGUGGCUUUUCAGCAGCAGUUUCUUGCUUCAUAGUGGAGCAAUGUGCAAGGUCAGGUGGGACUGCAUUUGACUCUGUAUUUAUCAUAGUUAUUAAUGUAGCAGCUCAAAAGGUCAAGUGACUUGCAUGAAAUUCUCAGUUUUUAUUUGAGGAAAAAUGUGUCUCUGGCCUUGUGCUUCUGGAGAAAAGAUGAAAAUGUAAAUGUACAAAGACUUAAGAAGUGAAAGGAUACUUAAAAGUCAUUAAAAGACACAAUAAACAUGAAGAAUCUUUUAUCUGAUGUUAUGAUCUGGGGGAUGAAUUCAUGAUUUUUGAAUCAGGGAUGGGAAAGAUGAGGAUGGACAAUAGAAAAAGGGGUGGAGCAAUCUUCCAAAAUACAGAUUAUUUAAACAGCUGUUGUCACAUGUUUAAAACUUGUGAAGAUAUUUUAUUGUCUGUUGCUUGCAAAAUAAAAUUAUGAAGAAUCCAAGCAGUGUUGUAGACUAUGACCUUUCUGGUUGUUAUCUGACUUUAGUCUGUUGUAAUUUUACUAACCAAUAACUUGACACCUUGUGGUGGUUUGAAAAACCUUUUUUGAGGUAGUAAUGGUUUGCCCCACUGAUAAUACUCUUACUGGACCAACCAAUAGUCCACGUGCACCCUACGGAAAUGACAUGCCCACAGAAACAGAAGAGAAGGUAGUGAAGAUAGUUUAGUAGGUAGGUAGCCAUGAUCUGAGCCACGAGGAGGCAGGGGGCCAGUGAGCUCCUCU